AGAGUUUGAUCAUGGCUCAGGAUGAACGCUGGCGGCGUGCCUAACACAUGCAAGUCGAGCGAAGCACUUUACUUUGAUUCUUCGGAUGAAGAGUUUUGUGACUGAGCGGCGGACGGGUGAGUAACGCGUGGGUAACCUGCCUCAUACAGGGGGAUAACAGUUAGAAAUGACUGCUAAUACCGCAUAAGACCACAGCACCGCAUGGUGCAGGGGUAAAAACUCCGGUGGUAUGAGAUGGACCCGCGUCUGAUUAGCUAGUUGGUAAGGUAACGGCUUACCAAGGCAACGAUCAGUAGCCGACCUGAGAGGGUGACCGGCCACAUUGGGACUGAGACACGGCCCAAACUCCUACGGGAGGCAGCAGUGGGGAAUAUUGCACAAUGGGGGAAACCCUGAUGCAGCGACGCCGCGUGAGCGAAGAAGUAUUUCGGUAUGUAAAGCUCUAUCAGCAGGGAAGAAACUGACGGUACCUGACUAAGAAGCACCGGCUAAAUACGUGCCAGCAGCCGCGGUAAUUC
RNAcentral lists this ribosomal RNA (518 nucleotides) under uncultured bacterium. RNAcentral describes it as "bacterial SSU rRNA". It matches the Rfam family "Bacterial small subunit ribosomal RNA", at positions 8 to 526 of the family's 1533-position model. The record is from RNAcentral.